This 466-nucleotide ribosomal RNA is filed under the name uncultured bacterium. RNAcentral describes it as "bacterial SSU rRNA". It matches the Rfam family "Bacterial small subunit ribosomal RNA", at positions 330 to 795 of the family's 1533-position model. The record is from RNAcentral.
UCCAGACUCCUACGGGAGGCAGCAGUGAGGAAUAUUGGUCAAUGGGCGCGAGCCUGAACCAGCCAAGUCGCGUGAGGGAUGACGGUCCUAUGGAUUGUAAACCUCUUUUGUCAGGGAGCAAAGGGCGCCACGUGUGGCGUUUUGCGAGUACCUGAAGAAAAAGCAUCGGCUAACUCCGUGCCAGCAGCCGCGGUAAUACGGAGGAUGCGAGCGUUAUCCGGAUUUAUUGGGUUUAAAGGGUGCGCAGGCGGAAUGUCAAGUCAGCGGUAAAAUUUCGGGGCUCAACCCCGUCGUGCCGUUGAAACUGGCGUUCUUGAGUGAGCGAGAAGUAUGCGGAAUGCGUGGUGUAGCGGUGAAAUGCAUAGAUAUCACGCAGAACUCCGAUUGCGAAGGCAGCAUACCGGCGCUCAACUGACGCUGAAGCACGAAGGCGUGGGUAUCGAACAGGAUUAGAUACCCGCGUAAC